AUUUACCUCCCUGAGCCACCGCUAACAGGUCGCUCCGACUACUCAGAGGCUCAGGCUGGCAAUGAGGAAACCAAACCCAGAGAAUGGGGGGUCAGCACCAAAUAACAAUGCCUGUCUCCACAGCAUGGGACCUGGGGUGCGUGCUGGGAGGCAGAAGGCCGCAGUUUGUAUUCUGACCCCAUGGUUUACAAGCGGCAUGACCUGGAGGAAACUUCCGAGCCUCAGCUGCCUCACCCCUGACAUGGAGAUCUCAUUGACGUCGACCCCAGAGCAGCAGUGUGGGACUGAGAUGACGUGUGCCUGGCCAGUAAAAUAAUGAGAAUAAUCUAUCUCGGAGAGCAAGCACCUGGAGGAUUAAAUGAGGCAACAUGAAGCACCCACACAGAGUAAUCACUCCAUACAGGAGGAUAGGAUUACUGUGGUUGACGCGAUUUUUAUUAUGAACCAGGUGGCUUUGGGCAAAUGGCAUAAUGUCUCUCCACCCCAUUUCCCUGAUCUCCAAAAAUAACAAUAAAAGCUUCACAGAGGGGCUCUGGGCAUUCAAUGAGAUAAAACAUGUAGCAUGAGGGUGCCUGGCUGGCUCAGUCUGGAGAGCAUGUGACUCCUGUCCUCCCGGUCGGGAGUUCGAGCCCCACGUUGAGCGUAGAGAUUACCUCAACAAAUUAAUUAAUUAAUUAAAAUCAAAAUAAAACAUGGAGCCUGACCCUACAUAGGCAACAGCUAUUACAGGUCAACAGCAUUUCUACGAUCAUCAUCAUGAUUUGCGCCGGCCCGCAGAGGUAAGCCCCUUGAUUCCUCGGGCUCUGAGGUAUCUGAGCAUCUGGGUGGAGAAGCCCGG
RNAcentral lists this long non-coding RNA (838 nucleotides) under Mustela putorius furo (domestic ferret). RNAcentral describes it as "lncRNA (ENSMPUG00000024006.1)". Lineage: Eukaryota; Metazoa; Chordata; Mammalia; Carnivora; Mustelidae. The record is from RNAcentral.